GUAGUGCUGAAUAAAAAAGUGCCUACAAGAACAAAUACUUCACAUCAGAGAAUCAGAUUAGCAAAUGAAAAACCAUUUUCACUUUAACAUUCUCAUGAUUCUAAUAGAAACAGAUUUCUUAGUUGCCAAUAUUCUAAAAAAUUUAGAGACAUAUUGGUAAAAUAAGAUACUAAGAAUGGAAUGAAACUUGGUUAUUUUCGACCAAUUGCAACUGAUGGACUAAGAAUGGAUUCCUUUCUCUUCUUCACUUUUUCAAUGAGUCUUCAAACUCUUGGGAUUAUUAAAGUAUUUCUUAGGUAUUGAAGUUAUGAGAAGUAA
RNAcentral lists this unclassified non-coding RNA (318 nucleotides) under Hevea brasiliensis (rubber tree). The record is from RNAcentral. Lineage: Eukaryota; Viridiplantae; Streptophyta; Magnoliopsida; Malpighiales; Euphorbiaceae.